CGCAUCUGUGCAUGCAGCAUAUCAAUAAGCGGAGGAAAAGAAACUAACAAGGAUUCCCCUAGUAACGGCGAGUGAAGCGGGAAGAGCUCAAAUUUGAAAUCUUAAAGGGUUUCCCUUUACGAAUUGUAGUUUAAAGAAGUGUUUUCUGUUGAGGUUUUGGUAAAAGUUCUUUGGAAUAGGACAUCAUAGAGGGUGAGAAUCCCGUAUUUGACCUUUACUUUCAACUUUGUGAUACACUUUCAAAGAGUCGGAUUGUUUGGGAAUGCAGUCCAAAAUGGGUGGUAAAUUUCAUCUAAAGCUAAAUAUUGGCGAGAGACCGAUAGCGAACAAGUACCGUGAGGGAAAGAUGAAAAGAACUUUGAAAAGAGAGUUAAACAGUACGUGAAAUUGUCAAAAGGGAAGCGUUUGACACCAGUGUUGUUUUUCUGAAAAUCAAUUAAAGAACUGUUUAUGCUAAGUUGUUUAGACUUUAUCAGCUAUCUGUUUAGUUUUAGGCUUUUCUUUAAUGCACUUUUCAGUUAACAAGUCAACAUCAAUUUCUUUUGCUGUAAAAAAGCUUGAGGAAGGUGGCUUGAGAUUCGUCUUAAGUGUUUAUAGCCUCUUGCCUAUGCAGUCGGAGAGAUUGAGGUCUGCAGCGUAGAUCCUUCGGGGCUAAAUGCAUUUGUGCUAAGUUAUAGCAUUUUAUAGACAACUUGUUGACUAUGAUUUGUCUUGUAGCUUACUCGCUUAUGUUAUUUUACCUACGCUUAGGAUGUUGAACGCGCACAGAGUCUC
Molecule: ribosomal RNA, 774 nt
Filed under: uncultured Neocallimastigales
Lineage: Eukaryota; Fungi; Neocallimastigomycota; Neocallimastigomycetes; Neocallimastigales
Description: partial large subunit ribosomal RNA
Rfam family: Eukaryotic large subunit ribosomal RNA
Source: RNAcentral